UGGGGAAUUUUGCGCAAUGGGCGAAAGCCUGACGCAGCAACGCCGCGUGGAGGAAGAAGGUGCUCUGCAUUGUAAACUCCUGUCGGCCGGGAAGAACCGGCGGGGCACUAAUCGGCCCCGUCCUGACUGUACCGGCAAAGGAAGCCCCGGCUAACUCCGUGCCAGCAGCCGCGGUAAUACGGAGGGGGCAAGCGUUACUCGGAAUUAUUGGGCGUAAAGGGCGCGUAGGCGGUUCUGUGCGUCGGAGGUGAAAUCCCCGGGCUCAACCCGGGAACGGCCUCCGAUACGGCAGGACUUGAGUCCGGGAGAGGGGAGCAGAAUUCCCAGUGUAGCGGUGAAAUGCGUAGAUAUUGGGAGGAAUACCAGUGGCGAAGGCGGCUCCCUGGACCGGUACUGACGCUGAGGCGCGAAAGCGUGGGUAGCAAACAGG
Molecule: ribosomal RNA, 430 nt
Filed under: uncultured bacterium
Lineage: Bacteria
Description: bacterial SSU rRNA
Rfam family: Bacterial small subunit ribosomal RNA
Source: RNAcentral